CAAAAACAUCGCCUUUGGGAAAGAUCAAAGGUCCUGCCUGCCCGGUGAUUUUUUGAAAAAUUAAACGGCUGCGGUACUCUGACCGUGCAAAGGUAGCAUAAUCAUUAGCCUGUUAAUUUCAGGCUGGAAUCAAUGGCAAGACGAAGAAUAAGCUGUCUCUUUACAUUAUAUUUGAAUUUUUCGUCUUGGUUAAGAGACUAAGAUGAUUGAGUGGGACGAGAAGACCCUAUUGAGCUUUAAUUUUAAAUUAGAGAUAAAGUCUAAUUAGAAAUUUUGGUUGGGGCAACGGUUUUUUUAAUUAAACAAGAGGGUAAAGAAUGAGUUAAUUCAAGGUUUGACCCAAAUUAUAUAUUUUGGUAAAUAGAAAAAGUUACCAUAGGGAUAACAGCGUAAUUCUUUUUGAGAGUACUUAUUGACAAAAGAG
Molecule: ribosomal RNA, 424 nt
Filed under: Asteroschema clavigerum
Lineage: Eukaryota; Metazoa; Echinodermata; Ophiuroidea; Euryalida; Asteroschematidae
Description: partial 16S large subunit ribosomal RNA
Rfam family: Bacterial large subunit ribosomal RNA
Source: RNAcentral